Molecule: long non-coding RNA, 1279 nt
Organism: Salvia miltiorrhiza (redroot sage)
Lineage: Eukaryota; Viridiplantae; Streptophyta; Magnoliopsida; Lamiales; Lamiaceae
Exons: 3
Source: RefSeq, a predicted model, not a curated record
AAUUUUUAUUUCAUACAUAUCUUUGACGUGGGAAGUAAUUAUUUUUAAUCUGCUCAUAUUUUGCAAUCGAAAAUCUUCUUUGCUCAUAUAUACCUCUCAUGGAGAAUUCCGAACUUGAUUCUCCCAAAGAAGAGGCCGCACAUACCGUUGCACAAGUAAAAGACAAGGGUAUGGUAAAGAUAAAUUGAUUGAAGUGCCUAUUAAUGAUUCCGAAAAUGAUUCGCAUGAAGAAUUAUUUUUUCUUGAAUGGGAUGAUUCUCUAAAACCCCGGAUUGGUCUAGUGUUUCCUACCUUGGGAAGUAGGAGAGAAAUUUUAUGAUGAUUAUGCUGGUUAUUGUGGAUUUGAAACUAGAAAAAGCACAAUCAGACGAGCGAAGGAUGGAACGAUUUGCAAGAGGUGGUGUUUGUGCAAUCGUGAAGGUUUGAGGAUAAGCCUGACCCCUUAGCUGUCCAUACAGUCGCAUUAAUAAUUUUAAAUUUUAGAUGUUUAUAUAUUAUAUGAAUUUUCUAGUUUGAAUUGAGUUUUAAUAAUUUUAUGUACUAACAGAGCUUCUGUAAUUGUUAAUUAGUCAGUAUAAAAUAUUGUUUGGCAUUAACUAUGGAUUGUUUGGCAUCGACUAUGGAUUUUAUCAGUAAAUUUUUUAUAGUCUACUGAAUGAAUUUAUGUUAGUUCAUUUUCGAUUGUUACAUUUUUAUUUGUUAUUUUAAAAAAGUUAAUCUCUAUGCAACUAUAGAAAUCUAUAUUUUAUUCAAUAUGCAGCCAUGCUUGUUCAUAUGUAUUGUUUAAAAAUACAAUAUCCAAUAAUAUUAUUUAUCCACCAGAUGGAACUCAUUCAAUAGUUUUAUAUUAUGUGAUGUGUCAUAAUAAUGUAUAAUACACACUGAAUAAGAUUAUAAUACAUGAUGUACAAAAUCAGAUUUACGCAUUCAAUUCGAUUACAAAUAGAACUAAGUUGCGGAGAAUAGUUUUACACUAUGCUGAUCUGCUAAUAGUAGUUAGUGAAUAAUGCAUAUAUUCAUGAGAAUAAAACAUAGUACUAUGUAGUGAAUAUAAAUAAUUUUAUUUAUUCAUAUAUUUAUGUGGUUACAGUUAUGAAUAACUAUUAAUGAAUAAUAAUUACAUUCAUUAGAAUAAAACAUCAUAUGUAAUGAACAAAUUAUUAAUCAUUGUGUACCUUUGUAACAUUUAUAACAAAUAUUUAUAAAUAAGACUUUCCCCAAAUUGAAUAACGUGCUCAUAAUUUAAUGCAGGGGUUAUUGUUGAAAAAUACAUGUAGUU